Molecule: ribosomal RNA, 963 nt
Filed under: Triticum aestivum (bread wheat)
Lineage: Eukaryota; Viridiplantae; Streptophyta; Magnoliopsida; Poales; Poaceae
Description: partial small subunit ribosomal RNA
Source: RNAcentral
GGCACCAUCCCUGUGCACCCUCCCACGGAGUACGCCGCUGCCGUGGUGUCCCUCCCGACGAACCAGAACCAUGCCAGCGACAGCAAGCUGAAGCGGCGCUGCUACCAGGGCGUGUGGGUGCGAGAGGAGUGGGCAUCAGGCAUCAUGGCCAUGCAGCGCAGCUUCACGGCGCGCCCCGGCGACGUGGUUCUCGCGAGCGUUCCCAAGAGCGGCACCACGUGGCUCAAGGCCCUGAUGUUCGCCACGAUGGCCCGCGCCGCGUGCCCGCCGGCCAGCCCCGCCCACCCGCUCCGCCGCCUCAACCCACACGACUGCGUGCCCCUCGUGGACAGGCUCUUCGCCGUCGGCCGCGAGGCUGUGCUGGACGCGCUGCCCUCGCCGAGGCUCAUGUGCACGCACAUGCCGCUGUCGGUGCUGCCGCUGUCCAUAUCCAGAGGACCCUACUGCAAAAUCGUCUACAUUUGCAGGGAUCCAAAGGACAUGGUGGUAUCGUUGUGGCACUUCGUCAAUGGUGCUCAACCUGACAUAUCACUCCAGGAGAUGUACGAGACUGUCUGUGAGGGCACAAGUAACGGCGGACCUUUUUGGGAUCACAUCCUCGGAUACUCGAGGGCAAGCAAUGCAGAGCCAAACAGAGUGCUUUUCCUCACCUACGAGCAGAUGCUUCAGGAUCCGCUGGACAAAGUCAGGAAGCUAGCUCAGUUCCUUGAGAGGCCAUUCUCUGACACACAGGAGGAGGCCGGUGUCGUUGCAGAGAUUGUUGAGCUCUGCAGCUUGGAGAUUCUGAAAAAUUUAGAGGCGAACAAGAAAGGCUCCCAAGGAGUGUUCUUCAAGUUCUCGCAUGACUCCUAUUUCAGGAAUGGGGUGGUGGGAGACUGGGUGAACCACUUUACGCCUGAGAUGGCUAAACGUCUGGAUGCGAUAUGCAAGGAGAAGUUCCGUGGGUCAGGCUUCACUUUCUAG